UCAAGGCUUCAUUUGAUCAUGUGUACAUUAGUGACAUGUGCCUCGAUUGAGUCUAGGAGUCAAUAAAGUUGCUAAGUUGUAAAGAAUGUUGGAUAUUCAAGUCUCCCUUACUAGUUUGUCAUGCAGUCUCGAAAAAAAUAAAAAUAAAAAUCUUGAAAAUCUUGAAAAAGGGAGGAGACAAGAGAAAUGACCCAGUCUCGAAGAUAA
RNAcentral lists this long non-coding RNA (207 nucleotides) under Linum usitatissimum (flax). RNAcentral's name for it is "long non-coding RNA (LUSI_LNC002740)". The record is from RNAcentral. Lineage: Eukaryota; Viridiplantae; Streptophyta; Magnoliopsida; Malpighiales; Linaceae.